GGGGCGGUGGCGCAGCUGGGAGCGCGUCAGACUGAAGUCAAACUUCAAUCAAUAAUCUGAAGGUCAUCGGUUCAAGCCCGGUCCACCCUA
RNAcentral lists this transfer RNA (90 nucleotides) under Xylaria sp. FL0933. Its description in RNAcentral is "tRNA-Phe". It matches the Rfam family "tRNA". Rfam says of the family: Transfer RNA (tRNA) molecules are approximately 80 nucleotides in length. Their secondary structure includes four short double-helical elements and three loops (D, anti-codon, and T loops). Lineage: Eukaryota; Fungi; Ascomycota; Sordariomycetes; Xylariales; Xylariaceae. The record is from RNAcentral.